CAGAGGGUGCAAACGUUGUUCGGAAUUAUUGGGCGUAAAGCGCGUGUAGGCGGCUUUGCAAGUCGGGUGUGAAAGCCCUCAGCUCAACUGAGGAAGUGCGCCCGAAACUGCAGAGCUUGAGUACCAGAGAGGAUGGCGGAAUUCCCCAAGUAGAGGUGAAAUUCGUAGAUAUGGGGAGGAACACCGGUGGCGAAGGCGGCCAUCUGGAUGGAUACUGACGCUGAGACGCGAAAGCGUGGGUAGCAAACAGGAUUAGAUACCCUGGUAGUCCACGCCGUAAACGAUGAGAACUAGGUGUCGUGGGUGUUGACCCCCGCGGUGCCGUAGCUAACGCAUUAAGUUCUCCGCCUGGGAAGUACGGCCGCAAGGCUA
RNAcentral lists this ribosomal RNA (372 nucleotides) under uncultured organism. Its description in RNAcentral is "bacterial SSU rRNA". It matches the Rfam family "Bacterial small subunit ribosomal RNA", at positions 526 to 896 of the family's 1533-position model. The record is from RNAcentral.